UCUCUCUGUCCACACACCUGCGUCCCUCCACAUACCCCAGACCUACGUCAACACACCAUGGACUGCUGCAAACCGGACUGCAGGGCUACCUGGUCUUUACUGAAGAGCGUGGAGCUGUGACACGGGACAGGGGAGAAGGAGUCAAGGGAUGUGUCUGAAAUGGCACCCUAUGUGCAUAUAAGGAAUAGGGUGCCAAUUUGGACACAGGGAGAGCGAGCAACCCUGUCCUGGGGCCUACAUAGUGGGAGUAGAAUGGGGAGAGAGAUGCCAAGGCGGUCAACCGACAAGUAGUCUCAUGUUAUCCUCCCCCCCCAUCUCUCUCUCUCUCUCUUUCUCUCUCUCUCUCCCUACAACUUUCUAUCUGACUUCACACUCGCUCUCUACCCCAGUUAUCCUCCACCCCCCCCCCCCCCUCUCUCUCUCUCUCCCUACAACUUUCUAUCUGACUUCACACUCGCUCUCUACCCCAGUUAUCCUCCCCCCCCCCUCUCUCUCUCUCUCUCUCCCUACAACUUUCUAUCUGACUUCACACUCGCUCUCUACCCCAGUUAUCCUCCACCCCCCCUCUCUCUCUAUCUCUCCCUACAACUUUCUAUCUGACUUCACACUCGCUCUCUACCCCAGUUAUCCUCCACCCCCCCCCCUCUCUCUCUCUAUCUCUCCCUACAACUUUCUAUCUGACUUCACCCUCUCUUUACCCCAGGUAUCCUCCCACCCCCCUCUCUCUCCACAUCACAGAUAUUCCCUCCCUCCAUCCUUAUCCUCUGAAGCUGUGGAGUGUGACAAUGGUGUUUGUGUCCUCUGCAAUCAAACGCCAUUAUCACACUAAAUAGCUACGGUUAGAAGAGAACAACGUCACCGUGACCACAUGGUCUAAAUAUGGCCAAUCAGAAGAGGGGAGAAUAAAAGCCACAAGUUGCAGUUCACAUGGUCUGUGGUCACUCAAACAGAGAUACUGAUGGUGAAGUUUGGGCCAUGGUUUUGCCUUAUUCUCUCUUCACAGGCCUCACAUGUUGUUGUAGCUGGUUUGGAUCACAUGCUGACUGAAAUGUAAGUUAUUCAAAUAGAAGUGUGAUACCUUGACAAAACAUGAAGCUUCAGAUGAUUGCUGACCCAUUUCCCUCUCUGCCUACAUGUGAGGUGAUAAUGUGUUACUAAGGUAAAGAUGUGAUAUUUUAGAAACCGAAAUACAUGAACCAUUAUGGGAGGUUAUAGUGUAAAUAUGGCCAAUCAGAAGAGGGGAGAAUAAAAGCCACAAGUUGCAGCUCACUCAUUUUGUGGAAAGCUCCAGCCAGUGCAUGUGCGCACACACACACACACACACACACACACACACACACACACACACACACACACACACACACACACACACACACACACACACACACACACACACACACACACACACACACACACACACACACACACACACACACACACAGUAUUUACUCCCUCUCUGCCACUUGAGCCAGGGUACACACACCCUCACCUUGAACUAGCAGGUUUAUAACAUAGAGGUCAAUAAUAGGGCCUUUAUUCAUUACAGAACUCACAUUCACUUGAAAGAGCCGUGCCCCCAAAAAUCAUAUCUAACUAAUCUCAAACAUCAAUCACGGCUCCAAAGAAGUAUUACUCUCUAUUAGGAAUAGGCAGUAUCCGAUUACAUAUAACCAACAUCCCAAAGGUGAUUUAAAUCAUUUGUUUGAAAUUGUGUGAAUGAAUAACUCAGACAUUUUAUUUGUAUUUAUUAUGGAUCCCCAUUAGCUGCUGCAAAAUUAAGGCAGUUUAUACAAUUUUAAAAACAUUACAAUACAUUCACAGACUGUGUGCCCUCAGGCCGCUCCUCCACCACUACCACGUACAGUGGGGCAAAAAAGUAUUUAGUCAGCCACCAAUUGUGCAAGUUCUCCCACUUAAAAAGAUGAGAGAGGCCUGUAUUUUUCAUCAUAGGUACACUUCAACUAUGACAGACAAAAUGAGAAAAAAAAUCCAGAAAAUCACAUUGUAGGAUUUUUUAUGAAUUUAUUUGAAAAUUAUGGUGGAAAAAAAGCAUGCUGCUCCACUCUGGCCCAUGUUGACUCUAAUGCUUCCAUAGUUGUGUCAAGUUGGCUGGAUGUCCUUUGGGUGGUGGACCAUUCUUGAUACACACUGGAAACUGCAGCGUUGCAAUUCUUCACACUGAAACUGGUGCACCUGGAACCUACUACCAUACCCUGUUUAAAGGCACUUAAAUUGUGUGUAUUGUCCAUUCACUCUCUGAAUGGCACACAAGCCAUGUCUCAACUGUCUCAAGGCUUAGAAAUCUUUCUUUAAUCUGUCUCCUCCCCUUCAUCUACACUGAUUGAGGUGGAUUUAACAGGUGACAUCAAUAAGGGAUCAUAGCUUGGAUUCACCUGGUCAGUCUAUCAUGGAAAGAGCAGGUGUUCCUAAUGUUUUGUACACUCAGUGUGUGUAAACCAGUGUAAUGUGUCAGACCAUAGGGUAGGCCUCCUGUUGACCAGUUACAGUAUGGCAAAGUUAAUGCUGGAUAAAUAGUAUGGACUAGAAUAGAGUAAAAUAGAAUUUAAAAUACCAUACAAUACAAUAAAAUAGAAUACAUUUCAACACACAUUAGAAUGAAAGUCAACUGUAUAGUUUGCACACUAUUUAAUAAUUGCAGUUCUUCUGGAUGUGAAUAACACCAGCUGCUUCUAUCAGGCGACAUGCUGACUUCUGUCCUGGUGUUGUUAUGAGUUAAGAGUCUCACAAUGGGACUUCCCUGUUUAAAUAAAGGUCAAAAAAUAAAUAAAGAGUUGGUUUCCAAUAAAAGAAGUGGCCACAGUGGAGACCAGUAAGGAAAACACAGCAGACCUCAGAAAGAAAGAAAGAGAAGUAAUUCAUUUGGACACAAUAAUGAAUGAAUGACACAACGAUUUGGUUACCAUGUGGAAAUGAUUUAAUAGAAUCUGCAUCGGCUACAGUGAAUAGAAAAGAUCAACAACAUGUACAAAAACGUGGCCAUGUUAUUAAAUUAAAUUAGACUUCAGACUUGACUGAACAAAUUCAUAUACUGUAUUGACAUAUGGAUCAUUGCAGAGAGUAAAAGAGUAUCAGUGUUGACAGAUUAGUAGUCCAACCACCAGUCUUUUGAAGGUACAUGACGAUAACAUUUGUUCUGAUAAGGUUGAGUCCAGCCUGGGGCCAUUGUACCAUCUGAGGAAAGCCCUGCCAGGAAGUUGGUGAGCCGGCCUGGUGCUAAGCUCAUCCUCUGUGGAUGACAUCACGUCAAGGGAUAACGUAUGUAGAACCAUUAUAAAUUAGUUUUGGCCAUAGGGUAUGACAAAGUCAGGCUACAAUUGAACUACUUUAGGUCACUAUAAAAGCACUGUAUUGUUAAAAGAUGAUGAGUUAGUGAGAUCUGAGCAAAUCAAAUAUCGUAAGUGCUGUUUCAGUCUAAUGCAUCCAUUUCAAGAUAUUUUCUAUCUAAUCUUUUGUCUUUAAUCUCUGUUCAUAAUGUCCUUUGAAUAUACAGUAUUAUAGAAACACAAAUAUGAGUUAUUUUGAAUAUGAAUAAGUAACAAUAUUGUGAUGUUUGUCACUAAAUGCUGGCAUGAAGAGUUCUGUAGCUGCUAUUCCUUCACAGUCUUUGAAUAAUGUUAAGAUAAUGAUCACAGGCAAGACUGAGACCAACUCAAACAUCAUAAUAGCUGUAAUUUCAAUGAUUGCUGGUUGCGUAUUCAGUAUUUCAAUAACCAAGAAUAAUGACAAGUUGAUUGACUGAUAUUCAAUUCCUCAUUAGCUGACCAAUUUGUGAGAAGGUGAUGCUCCGGGAGUGAGAAAGCGGUCUAUAUUCGCUUUCUUGGCAUGGGAAAACAUAUGUUUACAUUGCAAAAGCAAGUGAAGUAGAUAAUAAACAAAAGUGAAACAAACAAUAAAAAUGUACAGUACACAUUACACUCACAAAAGUUCCGAAAGAAUGAAGACAUUUCAAAUGUCAUAUGUCUAUAUACAGUGUUGUAAUGAUGUGCAAAUAGUUAAAGUACAAAGGGGAAAAUAAAUCAUCAUAAAUAUAGGUUGUAUUUAAAAUGGUGUUUGUUCUUUACUGGCUUGCCCUUUUUUUGUGGCAACAGGUAACAAAUCUUGCAUAUUUCACCCAAUAGAUAAGGGAGUUGAUCAAAAUUGGAUUUGUUUUCUAAUUCUAUGUUAGUCUGUGUAAUCUGAUGGAAAUAUGUGUCUCUAUUUGGUCAUACAUUUGGCAGGAGGUUAGGAAGUGCCGUUAAAUUUCCACCUCAUUUUCUGGGCAAGGUGCAAAUAGCCCGUCUUCUCCUGAGAGCCAGGUCUGCAUUCGGCGGCCUUUCUCAAUAGCAAGGCUAUUGCCCACUGAGUCUGUACAUAGUCAAAGAUGUCCUUAAUAUUGGUCAGUUAUUCUGCCACUGUGUUCUCUCGAAUUAGGGCCAAAUAGCAUUCUAUUUGCUCUGUUUUUUUGUAAAUUCUUUCCAAUGUGUCAAGUAAUUAUCUUUUAGUUUUCUUGUGAUUUAUGCUGGGUCUAAUUGUGUUACUGUCCUGGGGCUCUUUGUGUUUGUGAACAAAGCCCCAGGACCAGCUUGCUUAGGGGUCUCUUCUCCGUGUUAAUUUCUCUGUAGGUGAUGGAAGGUUUAUGGAAGGUUUAGGAAUCACUUUAUUUUAGGUGGUUGUAGAAUUUAUCAGCUCUUUUCUGUAUUUAAACAUUUGUGGGAAUCGGCCUGAUUCUGCUCUGGUGUUUUACAUUGUACACUGAGGAUAUUUUUGCAGAAUUCUGCAAGAAGAGUCUCAAUUUGGUGUUUCUCCCAUUUUGUGAAUUCUUGGUUGGUGAGCAGACACAAGACCUCACAAACGUAAAGGGCAAUGGGUUAUAUAACUGAUUCAUUUAUUUUUAGCCAGAUCCUAAUUGGUAUGUCUAAUUUUAUGUUCCUUUUGAAGGCAUAGAAGGCCCUUCUCGCCUUGUCUCUCAGAUCGUUCACAGCUUUGUGGAAGUUACCUGUGGCGCUGAUGUUUAUGCCGAAGUAUGUAUCGUUUUUGUGUGUUCAAGGGAAACGGUGUCGAGAUGGAAUUUGUAUCUGUCUAGCAUGGUCACUAGAUGGCAGUGUUGGGUGAAUUUAAAAUCAACACACUUAUCAUUGCGAUAUCUUCACAUGAUAUGACAUAGAGGUCCUUGCAAAAGUAUUCAUCCCCCUUGGUGUUUUCCCUAUUUUGGUGCAUUACAACCUGUAAUUUAAAGAGAUUUUUAUUUGGAUUUCAUGUAAUGGACAUGUACAAAAUAGUCCAAAUUGAUGAAGUGAAAUUCAAAAUGGAAAAGUGGUACAUGCAUAUGUAUUCAACCCCUUUGCUAUGAAGCCCCUAAAUAAGAUCUGGUGCAACCAAUUACCUUCAAAAAUCACAUCGUUUUUUAAAUAAAGUCCACAUGUGCGCAAUCUAAGUGUCACAUGAUCUGUCACAUGAUCUCAGUAUAUAUACACCUAUCCUGAAAGGACCCAGAGUCUGUAACACCACUAAGCAAGGGGCACCACCAAGCAAGCAGCACCAUGAAGACCAAGGAGCUCUCCAAACAGUUCAGGGACAAAGUUGUGGAGAAGUACAGAUCAGGGUUGGGUUAUGAAGAAAUAUCUGAAACUUUGAACAUCCCACGGAGCAACAUUAAAUCCAUUAUUAAAAAAUGGAAAGAAUAUGGCACCACAACAAACUUGACAAAACUCACGGACCAGGCAAGGAGAGCAUUAAUCAAAGAGGAAACAAAGAGACCAAAGAUAACCCUGAAGGAGCUGCAAAGCUCCACAGUGGAGAUUGGAGUAUCUGUCCAUAGGACCACUUUAAGCCGUAAACUCCACAGAGCUGGGCUUUACAGAAAAGUGGCCAGAAAAAAGCCAUUGCUUCAAGAAAGAAAUAAGCAAACACGUGUAAUGUUCUCCAAAAGGCAUGUGGGAGACUCCCCAAACAUAUGGAAGAAGGUACUCUGGUCAGAUGAGACUAAAAUUGAGCUUUUUGGCUAUCAAGGAAAAUGUCUGCCGCAAACCCAACACCUCUCAUCACCGGCUGGCACUGGGAAACUGGAAUUGAAGCAAUGAUGGAUGAUGCUAAAUACAGGGAAAUUCUUGAGGGAAACCUGUUUCAGUCUUCAAGAGAUUUGAGACUGGGACAGAGGUUCACCUUCCAGCAAGAAAAUUACUCUAAGCAUACUGCUAAAGCAACACUGGUUUAAGGGGAAACAUUUAAAUGUCUUGGAAUGGCCUAGUCAAUGCCCAGACCUCAAUCCAACUGAGAUUCUGUGGUAUUACUUAAAGAUUGCUAUACACCAGCAGAACCCAUCCAACUUGAAGGAGCUGGAGCAGUUUUGCCUUGAAGAAUGGGCAAAAGCCCAGUAGCUAGAUGUGCCAAGCUUAUAGAGACAUUUUUUGUUUUAACCUUUAUUUAACUAGGAAAGUCAGCUAAGAACAAAUUCUUAUUUUCAAUGAUGGCCUAGGAACAGUGGAUUAACUGCCUGUUCAGGGGCAGAACAACAGAUUUUUGCCUUGCCAGCUAAGGGAUUUUAUCUUGCAACCUUCCGGUUACUAGUCCAAUGCUCUAACCACUAGGCUGCCUGCCGCCGCAAGAGACUUGUAGCUGUAAUUGCUGCAAAAGGUGGCUCUACAAAGUAUUGACUUUGGGGGGGGUGAAUAGUUACGCACUCUUAAGUUUUCAGUUUUUUUGUCUUAUUUCUUGUUUGUUUCACAAUAAAGCAUAUUUUGCAUCUUCAGGGGGGUAGGCAUGUUGUCUAUAUCAAAUGAUACAACCCCCCCCCAAAAAAACAAUUUUAAUUCCAGGUUGCAAGGUAACAAAAUAGGAAAAAUUCCAAGGGGGUGAAUACUUUCGCAAGCCACUGUAUAUGACACCCAAUCAUCCUGUGGGGUAUAGGCUAGAGAUAUUGGCGAAUCCCAUAGGAUAGGACUUCACAUUUUGAACAAUAAUGACAAAAAAAAACAUAGACAGUGUAAAUAUAACACGCUUCAUUCAUCCUACUCUUUUGAUACGAAAUGUAAAAUAGACCUUACCUGGUCACAAUGGAGUUUUGACAGGAAAUAAGGGUAAUUUAAGGAGUGCCUUUUAGCAGCAACCUGUCAAUUAAAAGCAAUAAUUGUGGUACGAGUGUCCAUUAUGAAACUUCUGUUGUCUUCCACAGCAAUGAAAAGUGUGAUAUGAAUAAAAUGACAAAAUGA
This is a long non-coding RNA of Oncorhynchus kisutch (coho salmon), 7208 nucleotides long. RefSeq lists it as uncharacterized. The record is from RefSeq and is a predicted model, not a curated record. NCBI's taxonomy places the organism in Eukaryota, Metazoa, Chordata, Actinopteri, Salmoniformes, Salmonidae. The transcript is spliced from 2 exons.